Leopardus geoffroyi (Geoffroy's cat) is the source of this 127-nucleotide long non-coding RNA. RefSeq lists it as uncharacterized. The record is from RefSeq and is a predicted model, not a curated record. The transcript is spliced from 3 exons. NCBI's taxonomy places the organism in Eukaryota, Metazoa, Chordata, Mammalia, Carnivora, Felidae.
GUUCAUAGCCUUAAGAUUGCUUAAUAUAGGGAAACCCAUAACCAAUUGUGUACAUAACUUUAAUCUUGUUUUUUGAGUUGGGAAUAUCAGACUCCCCACUUUCUAUACUUACUAUAGAAACUAGAGA